ACCUGGCUGGCUCAAUCGGAAGAGUGUGAGACUUGAACUCAGGUUGUGAGUUUGAGACCCACGUUGGGUG
This 70-nucleotide transfer RNA is filed under the name Ailuropoda melanoleuca (giant panda). It matches the Rfam family "tRNA". From Rfam's summary of the family: Transfer RNA (tRNA) molecules are approximately 80 nucleotides in length. Their secondary structure includes four short double-helical elements and three loops (D, anti-codon, and T loops). Lineage: Eukaryota; Metazoa; Chordata; Mammalia; Carnivora; Ursidae. The record is from Rfam by way of RNAcentral.